GCCACGGUGGCACAACUUGGUACUGCGCAAGAUUGGAAAUCUUGUUUCCUCUGGAUAUCCCAGUUCAAAUCUGGGCCGUGGCG
RNAcentral lists this transfer RNA (83 nucleotides) under Candidatus Woesearchaeota archaeon B3_Woes. RNAcentral describes it as "tRNA-Ser". It matches the Rfam family "tRNA". Rfam says of the family: Transfer RNA (tRNA) molecules are approximately 80 nucleotides in length. Their secondary structure includes four short double-helical elements and three loops (D, anti-codon, and T loops). Further hydrogen bonds mediate the characteristic L-shaped molecular structure. tRNAs have two regions of fundamental functional importance: the anti-codon, which is responsible for specific mRNA codon recognition, and the 3' end, to which the tRNAs corresponding amino acid is attached (by aminoacyl-tRNA synthetases). tRNAs cope with the degeneracy of the genetic code in two manners: having more than one tRNA (with a specific anti-codon) for a particular amino acid; and 'wobble' base-pairing, i.e. permitting non-standard base-pairing at the 3rd anti-codon position. RNAcentral also lists the same sequence under 1 other name. The record is from RNAcentral. Lineage: Archaea; Nanobdellati; Candidatus Woesearchaeota.